This 274-nucleotide ribosomal RNA is filed under the name uncultured bacterium. Its description in RNAcentral is "partial 16S ribosomal RNA". It matches the Rfam family "Archaeal small subunit ribosomal RNA", at positions 473 to 747 of the family's 1478-position model. The record is from RNAcentral.
AAACCAGCACCUCAAGUGGUCAGGAUGAUUAUUGGGCCUAAAGCAUCCGUAGCCUGCUCUGUAAGUUUUCGGUUAAAUCUGUACGCUCAACGUACAGGCUGCCGGGAAUACUGUGCAGCUAGGGAGUGGGAGAGGUAGACGGUACUCGGUAGGAAGGGGUAAAAUCCUUUGAUCUCUCGAUGACCACCUGUGGCGAAGGCGGUCUAUCAGAACACGUCCGACGGUGAGGGAUGAAAGCUGGGGGAGCAAACCGGAUUAGAAACCCCGGUAGUCC